AGAAGUUUGCAAAUGUUUGCCACUGGUGGAUAAUCUGCAGCAAACCUUUGGCAGCAAUAAUAUUUAUUGCAACUAGUGGCAAAUAGUUUACCAGAAGCCAUUUCUGGUGAACACAUGAGUUCCAAGACCAGUAACCGUUGACGACCAGUCAGCAGGGGGAGAAGAAGAAUCCGUUGGAAAAUGGAAACCAAACUAUCUAGCUGGCUUCCUACCGAAGUUGUCCGGCCCCACCUAACCUGAAGUCCGUGCUGCUGGCUGUAGCCUUUGGCAAAGUCAUUGUGCUGAUCGUAACCAAGGGGGCAGGUCUGAAUCAGGCUACAGACACGGGACACAUUCGACGAGGCUACAGAUACGGGACACAUUCGACGAGGCUACAGACACGGGACACAUUCGACGAGGCUACAGACACGGGACACAUUCGACGAGGCUACAGACACCGGGGACUCAUCCGACGAGGCUACAGACACCGGGGACUCAUCCGACGAGGCUGAGAGGCCUCGUAUUCAUGGAUGCCAAGGGAAGACAGGAUUUAAAAAAAUAUAACUUUCGUAUCUAUAUUUCACCAUUUUCUUUCAAGUCAUAAGAGGCUGAAUGUAUCUCACCAGAGAAAGUACCUGAGCGAGCACCCCCCGUCCCUAUGUGUUGACCAUCUAUCUGAUUCUCUCUGGUCAAAAAUGGUAUGAUUAUUGUUGACGCCUGUAGCAUUGAAUGCAAGGGAAACCAGCAAGGAUUUGGCCUCCCUUGAUUAAAACAUUAUAUAAUAAUAGCCAAUCAGCUUCAAAUUAAACUGAGUGAGCUCAACUGUGAAUGGUCCUGGCGAACCAAAACAAAGUGUCAAGGGAGGCCAGUUUGGAUUUGGCUUCACACCAAUCACAUCAAGGCGAAUGUCAUUGACAGAAAAAAAAAUGAAUUUCUAUGAAAACCAAACACUACAUUCCACUGUGAGAAGCUUAUACCAACGGUCAAGCAUGGUGGUGGCAGUGUGAUGGUUUGGAGAUGCUUUGCUGCCUCAGGAUCUGGACGACUUGCCUUAAUAGGAGGAAACAUGAAUUCUUCUCUGUAUCAGAGAAUUCUACAGGAGAAUCUGUAUGUGAGCUGAAGCUCAUCUGGAUCAUGUAGCAAGACAAUGAUCCAAAACAUACAAUCAAGUCUACAUGAAAAUGUUUAAAAAGUAACACAUUUCAAGUUUUGGAAUGACCUAGUCAAAGUCCAGACAUAAUCCCAAUUGAGAUGUUGUGGCAGGACUUGAAACGAGCAGUUCUUGCUUGAAAACCCACAAAUGUCACUCAGUUAAAGCAGUUCUGCAUGGAAGAGUGGGCCAAAAUUCCUCCACAGCGAUGUGAGAGACCGAUCAACAACUACAGGAAGCAUUUGGUUGCAGUCAUUGCAGCUAAAGGUGGCACACCCAGUUAUUGUGUGUAUAGGGGGCAAUUACUUUUUCACACAGGGAAAUUGGGUGUUGCAUAACUUUGUAAAAAUACGUUUUUUUUGUGUGUUAUUUGGAAACUCCGGUUCCCUUCAUCUAAGAGCCGGU
RNAcentral lists this long non-coding RNA (1534 nucleotides) under Oncorhynchus kisutch (coho salmon). RNAcentral's name for it is "lncRNA (ENSOKIG00005044634.1)". Lineage: Eukaryota; Metazoa; Chordata; Actinopteri; Salmoniformes; Salmonidae. The record is from RNAcentral.